This 357-nucleotide ribosomal RNA is filed under the name Triticum aestivum (bread wheat). RNAcentral describes it as "partial small subunit ribosomal RNA". The record is from RNAcentral. Lineage: Eukaryota; Viridiplantae; Streptophyta; Magnoliopsida; Poales; Poaceae.
AUGGAGCCACCGGAUCCCACCAAGGAAAAGGAAUCUGCCGGACGAAGCGGAUGGAAGACAAGGCAAGAAGAAAAGUCUCUCGCUAAUGAUACUCAUGGAACCAUUGUGCUGACGCAUGCGAGUGUGAUUUUCGAACUGAUGCAGGAUCCGGAUGCUGAUGAGUUGGAGAUGCGAACGACGACGAAGCGGAAGAGGAAGCGGGUGCUCGUGGACGAGUACGUCGCAAACAAUGCCAAAAAGCUGUACUGGUACCGAGGACGCCACCGCCUGCUGGAUAUGUUGUUCCUGCCGUUCCGCCAGGCCGUCUUGCGGAGACUACUGUCCUUCGAGGUAGAGUCGUCAGGUGCACUUGGCUGA